Pelodiscus sinensis (Chinese soft-shelled turtle) is the source of this 1760-nucleotide non-coding RNA. The record is from RefSeq and is a predicted model, not a curated record. NCBI's taxonomy places the organism in Eukaryota, Metazoa, Chordata, Testudines, Trionychidae.
CAAAUUAUUGGACUUAGUAGUUAGGGGUCAUGUGGGUGCAGAUGGAGGAUGUUCUCCUCAGUUUGAUUGUUAUGGACAGCUCUGAUGUGUCUCUGCCAAAUCUGACCUGCCAAAACUAAUGAACAGUGUUCCCCGUAAGCUAUGCACUUGUGCAGCCACACAGGAGAAUCAGAUGCCGACCAACUGAUUCCCAGAAAGCCCACCCUUAGGUUUUUUUGUUUCAACUAGCAGUGCACAGUCACACGUGCCUCUGUACGCAUAACAAUUAUUUUGCACAUAGAUGGAAAAGAUAGAGAACAUUACUGAUGAGGACUGUUUUGUCUACUGAUGCUAGCUGUAUCUGAUCUAGUACUGUCUGACUAGGUCUUCUGUGGCCCACGGUUGCAGCUCCUGUCUGGUGUGCUGCUGUCACUCCACUAGGCAAAUUGUUCUCACCAGGGAUACACGGAGGUCAUCCAUCUCAUCUAUAUAAUAGUAUAGUUUUACAACAGGAUGCAUCAAAAGCACUAGCAAAACCAAUACAAACUAAAAUUUCAUUCCAUGACUUGUUUAUACGGCUUUAUAUACUAUACAUUCCAAUUGAUUAAUUUUAUAAUUGUGUGGUAAGGAGAAAGUAAGCAAUUUUUCAGUAAUAGUGUGCUGUGAUACUUUUGUAUUAUCUGAUUUUGUAAGCAAGUAGUUUUUAAGUGAGGUGAAACUUAGGGGUAUGCAAGACAAAGCGGAGCAAUGAAAGGGAUACAGUAGUCUGGAAAAGAUGAGAGCCACGGUACUAGGAUAAUUCUGAUCCGUUGUCACCAUCCAACUAGUUUGGCUUCAACUCACCACAGCUGGCUCCAAGGGGAUGCUGGAGUUCAAGACUCUGUAUUGGAACCUCUCUCCAGAACAAAGCGAGACAUCAGAGUCCUCACUUACAUUUGAUGCUUCCACAUGCUAGAUGUGCAUUCACACACAUUUUAACAGUUCCUAAAAAGACAACAAAGAAAUACAAAAUAAAACACGAUGCACUUUAUUUAACAAAAGCAUUAUUAAGUAAAAGCAAAUUAUACCCUGCCCCUUAAUUUUACCUUUUUACUUCUAGGGGAAGAAAGAGUGGAAGAAGUUACUCACCUUUGUGCAGUAACGAUGGUUCUUCGAGAUGUGUCCCUGUGGGUGCUCCACUCUAGUUUCUCUAGGUGUCGGGCUUAUCCCAGUGCCGCUGGUUGGAGGAUUUUUCAGCUGUCAUCAGCCGGACCGUGCAUACGCGGUUAUCGUCUCGCGCUGUUCACGCCUUUCUACUUUCACACAGUCUGGCUCCCGCCAGUUCUUCUCACCGCUAGGUAUCUGGAACGAGACAAAAACAAACCCUGGAGCAGGGAGGAGGGUAGGACGUGGAGCACCCAUGGGGACACAUCCGAAGAACCAUCGUUACUGCACCGAGAGACGAAAGAGAAAGUCCGGAGCUCUGCAGGUGGACGACAUAGUUAAGGAUAUGGUGUAGAGGAGUGCCCUGAGGCUUGAUGUUGCUGCAAGAGCACCUAUGCGAAUAUCUACGCCAUUUUGCAAGAUGACCAAUCCUCACACCGAGGAGAAGAAGGAAGCUCCGCCAGCAAUCAAGGAUGGUUGAGAAGAACUGGCGGGAGCUGAAGGAGCGAACGGGGCGAGACGCUAACCACACAUGCAUGGUCCAGCUGACACUUACACAUCCUGGAAGAGGAGAAGGAAUCCUCCUCAUUUGAAUAUACAGAGAAUGAGGAGCACAGGGAGAAGAUUGCAGGGGGCAG